Molecule: long non-coding RNA, 1250 nt
Organism: Mirounga angustirostris (Northern elephant seal)
Lineage: Eukaryota; Metazoa; Chordata; Mammalia; Carnivora; Phocidae
Exons: 3
Source: RefSeq, a predicted model, not a curated record
GCAGAGGGCGAGAGAGAGAGAGAGAGGCAGACUCCCUGCUGAAUGCAGAUACCCCUACACCCCAGUGUGGGGCUCGAUCCCACAACCCCGAGAUCAUGACCUGAGCUGAAACCAAGAGUCAGACACUUAACCGACUGAGCCACCCAGGCGCCCCUCGACACUAACUUGUGAGGAAGGAUGUGUCAUGGAGACUCAGGACGGAACUUCGUGUGGACCAGAGAAUGGAAGACGCUGACCUUGACCUGGAUUUAAAAUAGGGCUGCAGAUUUUGCAGAACGGUCCCCCAGCUCUCCAUCCAUUUAUCUAUAGGAGGUUCUUCCCCAUCAAAGUCAAACUAUACUUAGUUUGAGCCCUUAAAAUUUCUCUUUAGCAAAGGGUCAAUCUAUACCAGUGUGUAUUUGAGUUGCUUGUGUGUGCAAGAAAAGAUCAGCAUCGUGUGAAUCUUGAUGCUCGUGAAUUGAAAAGCCAGAGGAGGGUGGUGCCUCCCCAACAAUAUCGGGACUGACCGUAGAGUCCAGGAAGGAUUAUAUAGAGACUCAAAGAUUUUUCUGGUAGCCAUUCCUUAAACUACAAAGUAUACAUACUGCCUAGAUCUGAGAACCUAAGGGCAAGUGUAUCAGUCAGAGCUCACUGCAGGAAGCAGAAACCGCUCCAGAUAUAUUAAGUGGAAAGGGUUUUCAUACAGGAGGUUUGGUCUUUAGAAAGGGCUGAAGGAGCAGGUUCUAGGCUGCGCUACUGGAUGACACCUAGAAGAAUACAGAACUGGCCAUCAGGAGAGCAGCUGCAAGGAGGCCUGGGCAGUGCCUUCCAAUUCUUGCCUGGGACAGAAGGAAACUGGGCCACUCCAGAGUCCAGCUCACAGGGCAAUGCCAACAGAUGCUUCCGGUCUCAGCUCUACCGUCUUUCCUAUGUGGCCUUGGACAAACCUCAGCUGCCCCCGUUGUCAAACAAAGCUCUGAGGCCACCCAGGAGGCCCUGCCACCUCCUAUCCAGGCUUCCCUCUCUUUUUGCCGUGUUUGAGGAACUCGGCUCAAGAACCACCAGCCACAGUCCUGAAUGGGCCUUUGCUUCCAGGAGGACAGCAGGAUGAACAGGCCCUUGCUUCCAGGAGGAUAGCAGGAUGGAGGCAGGAUCACAGCAGGUAUGCAAUGAUUUCUGUUUGCUUCUUGCUUCUUCAGUUUUUCCUCUGACAACAUUCAUAGAGAGCUGCGCUGCUGGACGUUUACUGCCCACCCUGAGGGCUGGCAGGG